UACAGAGGGUGCAAGCGUUGUUCGGAAUUACUGGGCGUAAAGGGCGCGUAGGUGGUCUUGUCAGUCAGACGUGAAAUCCCCGGGCUUAACUCGGGAACUGCGUCUGAUACUACAAGACUUGAGUUCGGGAGAGGGAUGUGGAAUUCCAGGUGUAGCGGUGAAAUGCGUAGAUAUCUGGAGGAACACCGGUGGCGAAGGCGGCAUCCUGGACCGAAACUGACACUGAGGCGCGAAAGCCAGGAGAGCAAACGGG
Molecule: ribosomal RNA, 253 nt
Filed under: uncultured bacterium
Lineage: Bacteria
Description: partial 16S ribosomal RNA
Rfam family: Bacterial small subunit ribosomal RNA
Source: RNAcentral